UGGCAGCAGUGGGGAAUAUUGCACAAUGGGCGCAAGCCUGAUGCAGCGACGCCGCGUGAGGGAUGACGGCCUUCGGGUUGUAAACCUCUUUCAGUAGGGAAGAAGCGAAAGUGACGGUACCUGCAGAAGAAGCGCCGGCUAACUACGUGCCAGCAGCCGCGGUAAUACGUAGGGCGCAAGCGUUAUCCGGAAUUAUUGGGCGUAAAGAGCUCGUAGGCGGUUUGUCGCGUCUGCCGUGAAAGUCCGGGGCUCAACUCCGGAUCUGCGGUGGGUACGGGCAGACUAGAGUGAUGUAGGGGAGACUGGAAUUCCUGGUGUAGCGGUGAAAUGCGCAGAUAUCAGGAGGAACACCGAUGGCGAAGGCAGGUCUCUGGGCAUUAACUGACGCUGAGGAGCGAAAGCAUGGGGAGCGAACAGGAUUAGAUACCCUGGUAGUCCAUGCCGUAAACGUUGGGCACUAGGUGUGGGGGACAUUCCACGUUUUCCGCGCCGUAGCUAACGCAUUAAGUGCCCCGCCUGGGGAGUACGGCCGCAAGGCUAAAACUCAAAGGAAUUGACGGGGGCCCGCACAAGCGGCGGAGCAUGCGGAUUAAUUCGAUGCAACGCGAAGAACCUUACCAAGGCUUGACAUGGACCGGACCGGGCUGGAAACAGUCCUUCCCCUUUGGGGCCGGUUCACAGGUGGUGCAUGGUUGUCGUCAGCUCGUGUCGUGAGAUGUUGGGUUAAGUCCCGCAACGAGCGCAACCCUCGUUCCAUGUUGCCAGCGCGUAAUGGCGGGGACUCAUGGGAGACUGCCGGGGUCAACUCGGAGGAAGGUGGGGACGACGUCAAUCAUCAUGCCCCUUAUGUCUUGGGCUUCACGCAUGCUACAAUGGCCGG
This 880-nucleotide ribosomal RNA is filed under the name uncultured bacterium. RNAcentral's name for it is "bacterial SSU rRNA". It matches the Rfam family "Bacterial small subunit ribosomal RNA", at positions 346 to 1237 of the family's 1533-position model. The record is from RNAcentral.